RNAcentral lists this long non-coding RNA (364 nucleotides) under Eutrema salsugineum. RNAcentral describes it as "long non-coding RNA (ESAL_LNC000580)". The record is from RNAcentral. Lineage: Eukaryota; Viridiplantae; Streptophyta; Magnoliopsida; Brassicales; Brassicaceae.
GCAGAUGCGUAGUUAACUCCGGUGAGUAUUCGCCGACCACGCACGGCAUUAUACGCAGGAAUGUAACCAUUAAAUCCAAGUAGCUCAGCUUCAUCACAUCAUAAAUAAAUGUCAAAACCAUGUUAGAUUAGGACUAUUAACACUUUAAACAACUCUUAACUACUUAAUUAGUGUUAUAUAUAGAGAAGACAGAUUGUAAAAAAGACCCAUACCGAGCUCAUCAGCGGUGGUUUUUCCAUUGGAGAAACGGCCGGUGGGGCCGCCAAAAUCGAUGCCGUAAGGGAAGUAAUUGGCUCUUGCAAAAGAAACAAGACCGUUGUUGUUUCCAUUGUCAACCAAAGAGUCACCAAAAAUGAAGUAACAU